Molecule: ribosomal RNA, 308 nt
Filed under: uncultured bacterium
Lineage: Bacteria
Description: partial 16S ribosomal RNA
Rfam family: Bacterial small subunit ribosomal RNA
Source: RNAcentral
GAGACAGCAGUAGCCGCGGUAAUCCGUAGGUCCCGAGCGUUGUCCGGAUUUAUUGGGCGUAAAGCGAGCGCAGGCGGUUAGAUAAGUCUGAAGUUAAAGGCUGUGGCUUAACCAUAGUACGCUUUGGAAACUGUUUAACUUGAGUGCAAGAGGGGAGAGUGGAAUUCCAUGUGUAGCGGUGAAAUGCGUAGAUAUAUGGAGGAACACCGGUGGCGAAAGCGGCUCUCUGGCUUGUAACUGACGCUGAGGCUCGAAAGCGUGGGGAGCAAACAGGAUUAGAUACCCCCGUAGUCCCUGUCUCUUAUACA